This 406-nucleotide ribosomal RNA is filed under the name uncultured bacterium. Its description in RNAcentral is "partial 16S ribosomal RNA". It matches the Rfam family "Bacterial small subunit ribosomal RNA", at positions 28 to 526 of the family's 1533-position model. The record is from RNAcentral.
GAUGAACGCUAGCUACAGGCUUAACACAUGCAAGUCGAGGGACCGGCGCACGGGUGAGUAACACGUAUCCAACCUGCCCUUUACUCGGGGAUAGCCUUUCGAAAGAAAGAUUAAUACCCGAUAUAAAGGAUGGGGAUGCGUUCCAUUCGUUUGUUGGUGCGGUAACGGCUCACCAAGCCUUCGAUGGAUAGGGGUUCUGAGAGGAAGGUCCCGCACAUUGGAACUGAGACACGAUACAGACUCCUACGGGAGGCAGCAGGGGGGGAUAGUGGUCAAUGGGCGCUAGCAUGAACCAGCCAAGUAGCGUGAAGGAUGAAGGCUUAUGGGGCGUAAACUUCUUUUAUAUACGAAUAUGUAUGAUAUGAAUAAGGAUCGGCUAACUCCGUGCCAGCCGCCGCGGUAAUAC